UACGAAGGGGGCUAGCGUUGUUCGGAAUUACUGGGCGUAAAGCGCACGUAGGCGGUGUUCCAUGUCAGAGGUGAAAGCCUGGGGCUCAACUCCAGAAUUGCCUUUGAAACGGGAACGCUUGAGUCCGAGAGAGGGUGGCGGAAUUCCUAGUGUAGAGGUGAAAUUCGUAGAUAUUAGGAAGAACACCAGUGGCGAAGGCGGCCACCUGGCUCGGUACUGACGCUCAGGUUCGAAAGCGUGGGGAGCAAACAGG
This 253-nucleotide ribosomal RNA is filed under the name uncultured bacterium. RNAcentral describes it as "partial 16S ribosomal RNA". It matches the Rfam family "Bacterial small subunit ribosomal RNA", at positions 524 to 776 of the family's 1533-position model. The record is from RNAcentral.